This 873-nucleotide ribosomal RNA is filed under the name Lactobacillus sp. RNAcentral describes it as "bacterial SSU rRNA". It matches the Rfam family "Bacterial small subunit ribosomal RNA", at positions 588 to 1460 of the family's 1533-position model. The record is from RNAcentral. Lineage: Bacteria; Bacillati; Bacillota; Bacilli; Lactobacillales; Lactobacillaceae.
UUUGAUGUGAAAGCCUUCGGCUUAACCGGAGAAGUGCAUCGGAAACUGGAUAACUUGAGUGCAGAAGAGGGUAGUGGAACUCCAUGUGUAGCGGUGGAAUGCGUAGAUAUAUGGAAGAACACCAGUGGCGAAGGCGGCUACCUGGUCUGCAACUGACGCUGAGACUCGAAAGCAUGGGUAGCGAACAGGAUUAGAUACCCUGGUAGUCCAUGCCGUAAACGAUGAGUGCUAGGUGUUGGAGGGUUUCCGCCCUUCAGUGCCGGAGCUAACGCAUUAAGCACUCCGCCUGGGGAGUACGACCGCAAGGUUGAAACUCAAAGGAAUUGACGGGGGCCCGCACAAGCGGUGGAGCAUGUGGUUUAAUUGGAAGCUACGCGAAGAACCUUACCAGGUCUUGACAUCUUGCGCCAACCCUAGAGAUAGGGCGUUUCCUUCGGGAACGCAAUGACAGGUGGUGCAUGGUCGUCGUCAGCUCGUGUCGUGAGAUGUUGGGUUAAGUCCCGCAACGAGCGCAACCCUUGUUACUAGUUGCCAGCAUUAAGUUGGGCACUCUAGUGAGACUGCCGGUGACAAACCGGAGGAAGGUGGGGACGACGUCAGAUCAUCAUGCCCCUUAUGACCUGGGCUACACACGUGCUACAAUGGACGGUACAACGAGUCGCGAACUCGCGAGGGCAAGCAAAUCUCUUAAAACCGUUCUCAGUUCGGACUGCAGGCUGCAACUCGCCUGCACGAAGUCGGAAUCGCUAGUAAUCGCGGAUCAGCAUGCCGCGGUGAAUACGUUCCCGGGCCUUGUACACACCGCCCGUCACACCAUGAGAGUUUGUAACACCCAAAGUCGGUGGGGUAACCUUUUAGGAGCCAGCCGCCUAA